CAGCAGCCGCGGUAAUACGUAGGGUGCAAGCGUUAAUCGGAAUUACUGGGCGUAAAGCGUGCGCAGGCGGUUUGCUAAGACAGAUGUGAAAUCCCCGGGCUCAACCUGGGAACUGCAUUUGUGACUGGCAAGCUAGAGUAUGGCAGAGGGGGGUGGAAUUCCGCGUGUAGCAGUGAAAUGCGUAGAUAUGCGGAGGAACACCGAUGGCGAAGGCAGCCCCCUGGGCCAAUACUGACGCUCAUGCACGAAAGCGUGGGGAGCAAACAGGAUUAGAUACCCCUGUAGUCCCUGUCUCUUAUAA
RNAcentral lists this ribosomal RNA (301 nucleotides) under uncultured bacterium. RNAcentral describes it as "partial 16S ribosomal RNA". It matches the Rfam family "Bacterial small subunit ribosomal RNA", at positions 509 to 809 of the family's 1533-position model. The record is from RNAcentral.